CAGUCGCCGCGGGAAUACGUAGGGUGCAAGCGUUAAUCGGAAUUACUGGGCGUAAAGCGUGCGCAGGCGGUUUGUUAAGACAGAUGUGAAAUCCCCGGGCUCAACCUGGGAACUGCAUUUGUGACUGGCAAGCUAGAGUCUGGCAGAGGGGGAUGGAAUUCCGCGUGUAGCAGUGAAAUGCGUAGAUAUGCGGAGGAACACCGAUGGCGAAGGCAAUCCCCUGGGCCUGUACUGACGCUCAUGCACGAAAGCGUGGGGAGCAAACAGGAUUAGAUACCCGGGUAGUCCCUGUCUCUUAUAC
Molecule: ribosomal RNA, 301 nt
Filed under: uncultured bacterium
Lineage: Bacteria
Description: partial 16S ribosomal RNA
Rfam family: Bacterial small subunit ribosomal RNA
Source: RNAcentral